CAAAUUAUUCAGUAGUGAUAAAUUUUUUUUACAAAAUUAUUAAUAUGUUGUGCAAUUCAACUUAAUUUGA
RNAcentral lists this transfer RNA (70 nucleotides) under Athalia tanaoserrula. RNAcentral's name for it is "tRNA-Val". The record is from RNAcentral. Lineage: Eukaryota; Metazoa; Arthropoda; Insecta; Hymenoptera; Athaliidae. RNAcentral also lists the same sequence under 1 other name.